UACGGGGGGGGCAAGCGUUGUUCGGAAUUACUGGGCGUAAAGGGCUCGUAGGUGGCCAACUAAGUCAGACGUGAAAUCCCUCAGCUUAACUGGGGAACUGCGUCUGAUACUGGAUGGCUUGAGUUUGGGAGAGGGAUGCGGAAUUCCAGGUGUAGCGGUGAAAUGCGUAGAUAUCUGGAGGAACACCGGUGGCGAAGGCGGCAUCCUGGACCGACAUUGACGCUGAGGAGCGAAAGCCAGGGGAGCAAACGGG
RNAcentral lists this ribosomal RNA (253 nucleotides) under uncultured bacterium. Its description in RNAcentral is "partial 16S ribosomal RNA". It matches the Rfam family "Bacterial small subunit ribosomal RNA", at positions 524 to 776 of the family's 1533-position model. The record is from RNAcentral.